ACUCGGGCGGUGCAUCGGGUGGUGCUUCGGGUGGAGCAUCGGGUGGACACUCGCACUCGGGCGGAGCAUCGGGUGGAGCCUCGGGCGGAGCAUCGGGUGGACACUCGCACUCUGGCGGAACAUCAGGUGGACACUCUAACUCUGGUGGACACUCGCACUCGGGCGGAGAAUCGGAAUCAUCUGGCGGAACAUCUGGCACAUGUGAUAUUGUAUGUUUGAACGGUGGAACGUGUUAUACUACUAGCAAUUCAAAAAGCUUUUGUCGUUGCCCUUUUGGUUUCAUCGGACCAACUUGUAAAAUAAUUGUUGGAUACUGUCCUUGCAUAGUGUCACAUGGUACCGGUAAUAGAUCUGAUCAUCGCUAACUUAAGCACCGUUGACAUUUACUGUCCGAGAAAGCCAACAAGUGUUUUACACUGUUUUGCUAACUUCUUGAGUCACAUAUUUUGUAUAGGAAAUAAUUGAUUUUAGGCUAAAAUAUCUGGAACACAUUAUAUUAUUAUUCGUAUAAGGAUAUUAGUAGGCACAUGUCCUUUUUUUAUAUUAAAGACCUUUAGGCUUAAAUUUCUAGCUGUUAGCAUUGACCCAGUUAUUAAUUAAUGCUUUCUUUUAAUGGGUCGACGUCCAAGCAGAUAUUAUAAUAUUUGGUAUUUUAUCAAACUUAAAAAAAGAUCAUUUAAUUUGUUUACAAAAAUACUGAUAUUGUUUAGGUUAUGGUUGGACUUUGCACUCAAGAAAACGAUGUUACAAACUUCCAUAUGCUACAUACAUACUGAUUACAUGAAACCAUAGUAUCGGUGAUGAAACGUCUGCAUUGUAAAUCGUUCGUUAUGGUAUUUUUUAUAAUAAAAUACUAAACCUUUAAAAA
This is a long non-coding RNA of Anneissia japonica, 868 nucleotides long. RefSeq lists it as uncharacterized. The transcript has 3 exons. The record is from RefSeq and is a predicted model, not a curated record. NCBI's taxonomy places the organism in Eukaryota, Metazoa, Echinodermata, Crinoidea, Comatulida, Comatulidae.